AUUGAACGCUGGCGGCAGGCUUAACACAUGCAAGUCGAGCGGGGGAAGGUAGCUUGCUACCGGACCUAGCGGCGGACGGGUGAGUAAUGCUUAGGAAUCUGCCUAUUAGUGGGGGACAACAUCUCGAAAGGGAUGCUAAUACCGCAUACGUCCUACGGGAGAAAGCAGGGGAUCUUCGGACCUUGCGCUAAACGAUGAGCCUAAGUCGGAUUAGCUAGUUGGUGGGGUAAAGGCCUACCAAGGCGACGAUCUGUAGCGGGUCUGAGAGGAUGAUCCGCCACACUGGGACUGAGACACGGCCCAGACUCCUACGGGAGGCAGCAGUGGGGAAUAUUGGACAAUGGGGGGAACCCUGAUCCAGCCAUGCCGCGUGUGUGAAGAAGGCCUUAUGGUUGUAAAGCACUUUAAGCGAGGAGGAGGCUACUCUAGUUAAUACCUAGGGAUAGUGGACGUUACUCGCAGAAUAAGCACCGGCUAACUCUGUGCCAGCCGCCGCAGUAA
This 501-nucleotide ribosomal RNA is filed under the name uncultured bacterium. RNAcentral describes it as "partial 16S ribosomal RNA". It matches the Rfam family "Bacterial small subunit ribosomal RNA", at positions 30 to 523 of the family's 1533-position model. The record is from RNAcentral.